This 253-nucleotide ribosomal RNA is filed under the name uncultured bacterium. RNAcentral's name for it is "partial 16S ribosomal RNA". It matches the Rfam family "Bacterial small subunit ribosomal RNA", at positions 524 to 776 of the family's 1533-position model. The record is from RNAcentral.
UACGAAGGGUGCUAGCGUUGUUCGGAAUUACUGGGCGUAAAGCGCGCGUAGGCGGCUAUUCAAGUCAGAGGUGAAAUCCCUGGGCUCAACCCAGGAAUUGCCUUUGAAACUGUAUAGCUUGAGUGUCGGAGGGGAUAGCGGAAUUCCUAAUGUAGAGGUGAAAUUCGUAGAUAUUAGGAGGAACACCGGUGGCGAAGGCGGCUAUCUGGACGACAACUGACGCUGAGGCGCGAAAGCACGGGGAUCAAACAGG